GAUGAACGCUGGCGGCGUGCCUAAUACAUGCAAGUCGAGCGAACGGACGAGAAGCUUGCUUCUCUGAUGUUAGCGGCGGACGGGUGAGUAACACGUGGAUAACCUACCUAUAAGACUGGGAUAACUUCGGGAAACCGUAGCUAAUACCGGAUAAUAUUUUGAACCGCAUGGUUCAAAAGUGAAAGACGGUCUUGCUGUCACUUAUAGAUGGGUCCGCGCUGCAUUAGCUAGUUGGUAAGGUAACGGCUUACCAAGGCAACGAUGCAUAGCCGACCUGAGAGGGUGAUCGGCCACACUGGAACUGAGACACGGUCCAGACUCCUACGGGAGGCAGCAGUAGGGAAUCUUCCGCAAUGGGCGAAAGCCUGACGGAGCAACGCCGCGUGAGUGAUGAAGGUCUUCGGAUCGUAAAACUCUGUUAUUAGGGAAGAACAUAUGUGUAAGUAACUGUGCACAUCUUGACUGUACCUAAUCAGAAAGCCACGGCUAACUACGUG
RNAcentral lists this ribosomal RNA (497 nucleotides) under uncultured bacterium. RNAcentral's name for it is "partial 16S ribosomal RNA". It matches the Rfam family "Bacterial small subunit ribosomal RNA", at positions 28 to 507 of the family's 1533-position model. The record is from RNAcentral.